Molecule: transfer RNA, 97 nt
Filed under: Pandoraea pnomenusa
Lineage: Bacteria; Pseudomonadati; Pseudomonadota; Betaproteobacteria; Burkholderiales; Burkholderiaceae
Description: tRNA-???(gg)
Source: RNAcentral
CGAGCAUCUGGCUGAGGAUAUCGAGGCUGGCGCGCGUGGCGGCGCGGCGCGUUGCGAAGGCAGCGGCGAGCUGUCGUUCGUACUCGGCGAUUCGCGC